Molecule: long non-coding RNA, 780 nt
Filed under: Phoenix dactylifera (date palm)
Lineage: Eukaryota; Viridiplantae; Streptophyta; Magnoliopsida; Arecales; Arecaceae
Description: long non-coding RNA (PDAC_LNC005235)
Source: RNAcentral
UUCUAAAUAUAUGAUUUUAUUUUGAUAUUAAAAGGAUUUAUUGUGUUUCAUGUAUACAUUGCUGAAAAACUAUGAUUAAGAAAUUGAGUUCUAUAAAUAUAUAUACCACAAUGAUCAUCUAUAUGUUUUUCUCUCCUACAUUAUUAAAAACUUCCAUCAAUAGAGUGAAUGAUCUUAAAACUAGAAAUAUUUCAGCUCACUCAAAUGAUUACUAAAAAAAAAAGAAAAUGUAAAUGCGGUUGAAAGAAACUAAGCUUCAAAUGAAUCAUUUUCUGAUUGAUAUUUCUAUACAUUUUCUCUAAGAUUAAGAGAAAGCAUAACUUGUUCGUAAAGGAUUAGAAAGAGUAAUUACUACAAAUUUUGGAAUAAUACUAGAUUACUCUACAUUCUCGAUAUUACAGAAUUUCAGUGUUAUUCACGUUUAUCACUAUAAUCUGAAAUUCAACAAUUUAAAAUGAUUAAAGAAGAAUGCAUCUUUUGAGGGGGAGCUUUAGAUAUUCAGUAUCCUAUCCUAAAGUUACUUUAAUUUGAAGCCUACCUUGUUUUUUAUGGAUUGAUUUUGAUGAACCUCCUUAUAUUGCAAGACUUGCUUUAAUUAUAUAAUAAGUUUAUACCUUGAGAUGAGUUCUAUAAAGGUUGUCUUAUCUCAAACCUUGAGUCUCAUGAAAAUAAGCUGAAACUUAUAGAAAAUAUAUUUUUGAGAUUGACAAUUUUAUUGAACAUUAUCUUCAAAUUCUAAACUCUUAAAUGGAAUGAUCAAUUGAGGGAGAGAAAGAAAAU